RNAcentral lists this unclassified non-coding RNA (212 nucleotides) under plant metagenome. RNAcentral's name for it is "partial contains small subunit ribosomal RNA, internal transcribed spacer 1, and 5.8S ribosomal RNA". The record is from RNAcentral.
UCUCCGUUGGUGAACCAGCGGAGGGAUCAUUACAGGAUCGAAAGACUCCUAUAACCCCUGUGAACUUACUACAAAUACGUUGCUUCGGCGGGUGCCCCGGGUCUCCCGGCGCGUUCAGCCCGCCGGAAGCCUUCAAAUUCUGUUUCUUUGCGUUGGCAUCUCGAGUAUACAAAAAUAAGUUAAAAAUUUCAACAACGGAUCUCUUGGUUCUG